UCUUGUGUCCUGAGUGAUCUUUGACUUGAUGUGUCUCCCCCUCUCUGUCCCUGCAGCAUGAAGAUACUCCUGCUGCUCCUCCUCCUCACCUCAUGUCCCUCUGCAGCAACAUUUGUAGUGACUGUGAACCAGAGCUCCUAUCAGGCAGAGGAGAACCAGGACAUCAGCCUGGAGUAGACCUUCACUAGCAGACCUGACAGAUCCUGGACACAGCUGUUUAUCUACUGCAGUUUGUUAGCUCCUGUCAGAGAGGCAGUCCUGUAUCAGGUCCAUGAAGGCCUUGAGGUGUCAGAGUCUCAGGAUCAACAGUUUGCAGGACGAGUCCUCUGUGACAAAGACGUCCUCAGAGAAGGACGCCUCAGACUGCAUCUGUCCAAACUCAGGACUGAGGACUCUGGUCUGUAUCAGUGUGAAGUGAAGACUGAAGAUGGUUCUGGAUUUAAAACCUGUCACCUGAAUGUUUCUGCAGCUGCUGAUCAGCUCCAAACUCACACACCAACCUGGACUCCACAACCUGAGGAACAGACAUUAAACAUCUGUUGUG
Molecule: long non-coding RNA, 544 nt
Organism: Austrofundulus limnaeus
Lineage: Eukaryota; Metazoa; Chordata; Actinopteri; Cyprinodontiformes; Rivulidae
Exons: 3
Source: RefSeq, a predicted model, not a curated record